UAACCCACGACCACAUCAAGUCAAUGAGGUAAGUGCCAUAACCGAACUUCAAAAUCAAAUGGCUAACCUUACUACUUUGCUUUCUCAGGUAGUGGAAGGUCCAAAAGUGCAAAACGUGGUAGCUUGUGGCGUGUGUUCCAUGCAAGGCCACCUUACGGACAAGUGCCCACAGUUGAUAGAAAAUGGAGGGUGGGAGACCCUCAAUGCCGUGGGAUUUGACAACCAAUACCAACCAAGGAAUGACCCCUUUUCCAAUACUUACAAUCCCGGUUGGCGUGAUCAUCCAAAUUUCAAAUGGCGAGAACCCCAACAAGGCCAACAACAAAGCGGAUUUAGGCAACAACCCCCGGGUUUCUAUCAAAAGCCGUUUGCACCAACUCAACCCCAAGCACAACCUGCCCAAAAAUCAGGAUCGUCUAUUGAUAAUGAUCAAAUUUUUAAUUUACUAAUUUCUAUGGCGCAGGGAAUGCAAAAUAGGGACAAAAAGGUGGACGAGUUGGAGAAACAAGUAGGGCAAAUUGCCGAGUUUGUUGGGCAGUUUAGAGAACAAGGCAAGCUUCCUAGUUCAACCAUUGCGAAUCCAAAAGGAGGCUUUGAAACCGUCAAUGCAAUCAUGUUGAGAAGUGGUACACAGGUUGGAGCCAAACCAAAAUCAUCCAAAUCAAGUCACGAUGAGGAUGAAAAGUUGCUACAAGAGGAAGCACAGGGACCAAAACUCACGGCCAAGGAUGAACAAUCCUUACCACCACCAUCUAGCCCUCCUAAGCCGUCCCAAACCACCAAGGUAAGUCCAAAUUCGACUUUUUCUAGUUCCAUUCCACUAAAUGUACCCUUUCCUGGCAGGUUUAGGCAAUCAAAGAAGGAAGAAGCCGAGAAGGACAUUCUAGAGACCUUUCGGAAAGUUCAAGUCAAUAUUCCGCUCCUUGAUGCAAUUAAGCAAGUCCCGAGGUAUGCUCAGUUUUUAAAAGAACUUUGUACAUCAAGGAGAAGGAUUUCGAACAAAGAGGUGGUCCAAGUAAGUGAGAAUGUUUCUGCCAUGUUACAAAGGAAAUUACCCCCUAAAUGCAAAGAUCCGGGUAGUUUUUACAAUUCCGUGCGUUAUUGGCAAGACUAAGUUUGAACAAUGCAUGUUAGACUUAGGGGCUUCGAUUAAUGUUAUGCCAUACUCUAUUUAUGCAUCUAUGAACUUAGGUGAGCUUAAAAACGAUGGUGUGAUUAUUCAAUUAGCCGAUCGUUCUAAUGCAUAUCCAAAGGGUGUUUUGGAAGAUGUGUUGGUGCAGGUGGGCAAUUUGAUUUUUCCAGCGGACUUUUACGUGCUUGACAUGGAGGAUUCACCCUAUUCUACCCCAUUGCCGAUACUAUUAGGGCGGCCCUUCAUGAAAGACAGCCCAAACCAAGAUUGAUGUGGCUAAGGGAGAGUUAACAAUGGAGUUUUGGUGAUGAAUUGAUUAAAUUCAAAGUUCCUGAAUAUGUUAAGAAUCCUCAUGAUGUUCGUUCUUGUUUUGCAAUAGAUGUGAUUAAACAUGUGGGGAAGGAACAUUCAUGCGCACCAAUCAAGAAGGAUGUCCCUAGAUGCAUCAUCGAAGAGGGUAUUGGAGUGGAGCAUACAAAACAUGUCAUUACACCCAAAAUACCAAAUCUGGCCGAGAGCACCACCUUUGCUGCCCCUUUUGAGUCUUCAUCUACAUGCAUUGGUAAGCCUCCUCCUCUAAUUCCAAUUCCCAUUUCCACUAAUAGGUUAUUGCCUUCUGUGGUGCAGGUACCAAAUCGAAUCCAUGAUUAUGGGAGUUUUUACUUUGACCUUGGGAAGCUUAAUGCCACAAUCUGGGACCAUCAUUAUCCACUGCCAUACAUAGACCCAAUGCAUGAGUAUUUCACGGAGCAUGUCAUGGAGGAUGUACCCCUCCAUGCCGUGGCACCUAGUCAAGCUUAAACGGAGGUACCGUCCGGCUGGAAGACGUUAAAGAAAGCGCUUCGUGGGAGGCAACCCAUGCAUUCGACAAAGGAAGGCCUAGAGAGCACUCCAAUUCCAGAUUUGCGUUCCUAAACCCUUCUCUUUGUUGUUGAAUUAGUUUCUGCCAUAUUUAGUUUGUUAGUGUUUGUUUGUUUGUUUAUGUGUUUUUGUGUUAGUUAUGCUUUGAAACAUUGAGGACAAUGUUUGGUUUAAGUGUGGGGGGGGGGUAACCAAAGUGUUUUGAUGCAAAUUCGUAGGGUUUUCUCACUCAUACUUCCCUAUGUUGUUUCUUGCUGUUUUUAGAUGUUUUUAGGCUGUUUUGGUGAGUUUUUAGUGUGUGCUGACUUUAUAACUCCGAAAAUCACAUAAAAAUUUUGAAAAAUUGCUUUGCAAAAACCCAAAAAGAGUUGUUUUUUGUGUGUUUGUUUGUGUCUUAGGGUACCUUCCAACACAAUGAUGAGGAUUUGGUUUGUAAUUUCAUGGCUGUUAAAGAGAGUGAUUAACAUGGAUGAAAGUUUGAUUUAUUCUUUGUUUAUGCUUGGUUGUGGUUAUAACUUAUGAAUUUACAUGCAAUCUUAAAGGAAAAAUUAGUUUUUGUAACAUGCUUGAAGGAAAGGAACUCAAACUAACGCUACAACCUUGUGAGACUUGAGCCUAAACGUUUAUUUGGAGAGUUAAUAAUCUGUGAUUUAUUGUUUUCUAAGUCGUUGCAUGAUCUCAUUAUUCUUUGCUUGGUUACUACUUAGAAGGCGUUUCAUCAUUUAGUUCCAAAUGCUCUAACUCAUACCCAUUUCAUUCAAAGCAUGUCAUUGAUUUGCAUAACACACAUAUUCAAGAUAAAGUUGUGUAGUGACCACCACCAUAACCAAAAAGCCGUGAAUCCCCUAUGUCAUUAUGUUUUGUACGUUUUAAUUCCCCGUUGAGCUUUGUGAGCCUUUUCUUUGUAAACCCACAUUACCCUCACCUAGCCUAGAUUUGGACCAUCCAUUAACCUUGUUCUUAAAGCGUAGUAAAGCAUGAUUUUCAAAUUGAAUUCCUUUUGUGGCAGAAAACAAGUGUGGGGGAAGUGUUUUUCAUAAGGAAUUAUGUGCCAUAGGCACGGGUAAAAAGAAAGAAAAAAGAAAAGAAAAAUGUGAAAAAGAAUGCGAAAAGAGUUGAAAAGAAGUGAAAAAGAGUUCUAAAGUGUUGUUUGAUGAAGAAGGGGUCCAAAACAAUGAAUUCGACCCUAAGGAGUUGUUUAAAUCUUCCCCUUGUGUUUUAAAACUAAUUUCUGCAAUCUAAGUAAAUUCUAAGUCUCAAUUUCAUUACUUUGCUUACUAUCACUUUAAGAACGUUUGUUUUCCUUAUCCUUUCUUUGUUAGCCAAUACCCCAAGCCCCGUUACAACCCUUGACUUCUAUCUUGAGUGUUAUGUGUUUCAAUUUGUGGAGAUUGAACUUGGUAUGAGCAUAUGGUGUCACUGGUUCUCGCAUCUAAGUAGUAGCAUUCCAUUCAUGAGAUCAUAUCUCAACAUGCUUAUUAACUCUAGAAAUUGUGUUCUUUGUGAGCAUUCGUUUUUAUAUCUACAUCAAUUCUCUCACAUAUAACUAGUAUAGGGUGUGUAGUUAGAAAAUCUGAGUGAAAAUAGAGUGUGUAUCUUGUAAGGAUUGAGGGAAUUCUCUAAGGCAUGUUACUACAUUCAAAACAUUGUUUUAAUUGGUUAAUUGUGAAUUAGUAAGUAGUGACUAUGAUUAAGUAUGUGCUUAAGUGUUAAAUUGACUCAAUUCUGUGGGAAUGAUAAUCUUUAACAUGUCAUGUGCAUUGGAAAUCCCUAAGGCAAACGUUGGAAGGUUUAGGUUGUUUUUGUUUGUUUGGUUUGGUUUUGUUUUUCUUUUGUUUCUUUGUUUUGCUCGAGGACUAGCAAAAGCUAAGUGUGGGGGAAUUUGAUAGGAGCAUUUAUAUGCGACUUAGUUAACUAGUUUUCUUGCAUUUACGUUAUUAGUUCUUAGUUAUUUUAGUACUUUAAGCCAUUUUCGUGUGUUUGUAGGUCCAAAGGGCUAAGGUAGCAAGAAAGUGCAUUUUGGUGCAUUUUGGAGUAGUUUUGAGCUUGGAAUGGAUUACAUAUGAUAUGAGCAAGAUGGAUGGACGAAUUUGAAGACAAAAGAGGCUAAGAACAUGCUAAAAAUCUGGUGAAACAAAUACAAGUUGCAAGAAGGGAUAAAUUUCUAAAAGGAUUGGCCAAAACUUCACUCAAAACACAUCAAUGCCGUGACUUUUACUUCCACCUCCACCAGAAAUUUGAGUAAUGAUGCAAUGCUUAAAUCACCAUGACAUGUGAGUGGAUG
RNAcentral lists this long non-coding RNA (4277 nucleotides) under Malus domestica (apple). RNAcentral's name for it is "long non-coding RNA (MDOM_LNC015219)". The record is from RNAcentral. Lineage: Eukaryota; Viridiplantae; Streptophyta; Magnoliopsida; Rosales; Rosaceae.